AGUCUCGGGGUGAAUUCACGUCAAAAUGCAAAUUUGGAGAAGCACCUUAAAGGGUGCCGGGACUU
This 65-nucleotide transfer RNA is filed under the name Psammodromus algirus. Its description in RNAcentral is "tRNA-Cys". The record is from RNAcentral. Lineage: Eukaryota; Metazoa; Chordata; Lepidosauria; Squamata; Lacertidae.